Molecule: ribosomal RNA, 467 nt
Filed under: uncultured bacterium
Lineage: Bacteria
Description: partial 16S ribosomal RNA
Rfam family: Bacterial small subunit ribosomal RNA
Source: RNAcentral
GAAGAAAGAGGGAGGCGUGCUUAACACAUGCAAGUCGAACGGAAAGGCUCCAGCUUGCUGGAGUACUCGAGUGGCGAACGGGUGAGUAACACGUGGGUAAUCUGCCCUGCACUCUGGGAUAAGCCUGGGAAACUGGGUCUAAUACUGGAUAUGACCUUUCUCCUUAUGGGGUUUGGUGGAAAGUUUUUCGGUGUAGGAUGAGCCCGCGGCCUAUCAGCUUGUUGGUGGGGUGAUGGCCUACCAAGGCGACGACGGGUAGCCGGCCUGAGAGGGUGAUCGGCCACAUUGGGACUGAGAUACGGCCCAGACUCCUACGGGAGGCAGCAGUGGGGAAUAUUGCACAAUGGGCGGAAGCCUGAUGCAGCGACGCCGCGUGAGGGAUGACGGCCUUCGGGUUGUAAACCUCUUUCAGCAGGGACGAAGCGUAAGUGACGGUACCUGCAGAAGAAGCACCGGCUAACUACGUG